AAGGAGUCUAACAAAUAUGCGAGUAUUUGGGUGUUAAACCCUUGUGCGUAAUGAAAGUGAAAAGGUGGGAUCCUUUACUGGUGCACCAUCGACCGCGCCAGAUUAUUACUAUCUCGGCGUGAGUAUGAGCAUAUUUGCUGGGACCCGAAAGAUGGUGAACUAUGCCUGAAUAGGGUGAAGCCAGAGGAAACUCUGGUGGAGGCUCGUAGCGGUUCUGACGUGCAAAUCGAUCGUCAAAUUUGGGUAUAGGGGCGAAAGACUAAUCGAACCAUCUAGUAGCUGGUUCCCUC
RNAcentral lists this unclassified non-coding RNA (290 nucleotides) under uncultured fungus. Its description in RNAcentral is "partial contains 5.8S rRNA, ITS2 and 28S rRNA". It matches the Rfam family "Eukaryotic large subunit ribosomal RNA", at positions 668 to 961 of the family's 3401-position model. The record is from RNAcentral. Lineage: Eukaryota; Fungi.